CCCCCAGAUGUUGCUGAACUACAACUCCCAUGAUUCCCUGGCUGUUUCAUUGAAAGAAUCAUGGGAGUUGUAGUUCAGCAACAUCUGAGGG
This 91-nucleotide microRNA precursor is filed under the name Pelobates cultripes (western spadefoot toad). Lineage: Eukaryota; Metazoa; Chordata; Amphibia; Anura; Pelobatidae. The record is from RNAcentral.